ACUAAAAUAGCAAAAGGGUUAAUGCAAGAAUUCUAAGCUUUCUUAAUGAAGGUUCGAUUCCUUUUUUUAGUU
Molecule: transfer RNA, 72 nt
Filed under: Euretaster insignis
Lineage: Eukaryota; Metazoa; Echinodermata; Asteroidea; Velatida; Pterasteridae
Description: tRNA-Leu
Rfam family: tRNA
About the family: Transfer RNA (tRNA) molecules are approximately 80 nucleotides in length.
Source: RNAcentral